Molecule: ribosomal RNA, 499 nt
Filed under: uncultured bacterium
Lineage: Bacteria
Description: partial 16S ribosomal RNA
Rfam family: Bacterial small subunit ribosomal RNA
Source: RNAcentral
GAUGAACGCUGGCGGCGUGCCUAACACAUGCAAGUCGAGCGAGAUAAAUGUGAGUGGAGACUUCGGUCAAAGCAAUCAUUUUGAAAGCGGCGGACGGGUGAGUAACGCGAGAGCAAUCUGCCCCAUACAAAGGGAUACCCACUGGAAACGGUGAUUACUACCUUAUACGACCACGAAGUCGCCUGGCUUAGUGGCCAAAGAUUUAUCGGUAUGGGAUGAGCCCGCGUCUGAUUAGCUAGUUGGUGAGGUAAUGGCUCACCAAGGCGACGAUCAGUAGCCGACCUGAGAGGGUGGACGGCCACACUGGAACUGAGACACGGUCCAGACUCCUACGGGAGGCAGCAGUGGGGAAUAUUGCACAAUGGGCGCAAGCCUGAUGCAGCAACGCCGCGUGAAUGAUGAAGGCCUUCGGGUCGUAAAGUUCUGUCCUAAGGGAAGAAUACAGUGACGGUACCUUAGGAGGAAGCCCCGGCUAACUACGUGCCAGCCGCCGCGGUAA